This 253-nucleotide ribosomal RNA is filed under the name uncultured bacterium. RNAcentral's name for it is "partial 16S ribosomal RNA". It matches the Rfam family "Bacterial small subunit ribosomal RNA", at positions 524 to 776 of the family's 1533-position model. The record is from RNAcentral.
UACAGAGGGUGCAAGCGUUGUUCGGAAUUACUGGGCGUAAAGCGCGUGUAGGUGGCGAUGUAAGUCGGGUGUGAAAUCCCUUGGCUCAACCAAGGAAGUGCACUCGAUACUGCUUCGCUUGAGUACUGGAGGGGAUGGCGGAAUUCCCGGUGUAGAGGUGAAAUGCGUAGAUAUCGGGAGGAACACCUGUGGCGAAGGCGGCCAUCUGGACAGUCACUGACACUGAGACGCGAAAGCGUGGGUAGCAAACAGG